UAACGCGAAGAACCUUACCAGGGCUUGACAUAUACGUGGUAGCGAGUCGAAAGAUGAGCGACCCUUCGGGGAGCGUAUACAGGUGCUGCAUGGCUGUCGUCAGCUCGUGCCGUGAGGUGUUAGGUUAAGUCCUGUAACGAGCGCAACCCUCGUCGCUAGUUACAUGUGUCUAGCGAGACUGCCCGUGAUAAGCGGGAGGAAGGUGGGGAUGACGUCAAGUCAGCAUGGCCUUUAUGUCCUGGGCUACACACACGCUACAAUGGCCGGUACAAUGGGUAGCCAAGCCGCGAGGCGGAGCCAAUCCUCCAAAGCCGGUCUCAGUUCGGAUUGUAGGCUGCAACUCGCCUGCAUGAAGUCGGAGUGCUAGUAAACGCGCGUCAGCAACAGUGCGUUGAAUACGUUCCCGGGUCUUGUACACACCG
RNAcentral lists this ribosomal RNA (422 nucleotides) under uncultured bacterium. Its description in RNAcentral is "bacterial SSU rRNA". It matches the Rfam family "Bacterial small subunit ribosomal RNA", at positions 957 to 1392 of the family's 1533-position model. The record is from RNAcentral.